This 512-nucleotide ribosomal RNA is filed under the name uncultured bacterium. RNAcentral describes it as "bacterial SSU rRNA". It matches the Rfam family "Bacterial small subunit ribosomal RNA", at positions 32 to 521 of the family's 1533-position model. The record is from RNAcentral.
AAUCAACGCUGGCGGCGUGCCUCAGACAUGCAAGUCGAACGCGAAAGGCCCCUUCGGGGGCUGAGUAGAGUGGCGUCCGGGUGAGUAACACGUGGGUAAUCUACCUUCGGGUGGGGAAUAACAGUCGGAAACGACUGCUAAUACCGCAUAAUGCAGCGGCACCUAAUGGUGACAGUUGUUAAAGCGGGGGAUCGCAAGACCUCGCGCCUGAAGAGGAGCCCGCGGCGGAUAGCUAGUUGGCAGGGUAACGGCCUACCAAGGCGACGAUCCGUAGCCGGCCUGAGAGGGCGGUCGGCCACACUGGCACUGACACACGGGCCAGACUCCUACGGGAGGCAGCAGUCGGGAAUUUUGGGCAAUGGGCGAAAGCCUGACCCAGCAACGCCGCGUGAAGGAUGAAGCUUUUCGGAGUGUAAACUUCAUAAGAAUGGGACGAAUAAGAAGGGGAUAAUACCCCUUUGAUGACGGUACCAUUUGUAAGCUCCGGCUAACUCCGUGCCAGCCGCCGCUGU